CCACCCCUCAGGCCCUGCCUGGUGCUGGAGACCUGCGCGGCCGCAGUCUCCCAAAGCCAGCGGCGGGCGUGCCGUGGCCCCGGGCGUAGUAUGCUUUCCGCACUCGCCCCGGGCGCCCGGCGCGUACCGGCCGUCAAAACACCCCCCUUUGUAC
This 154-nucleotide unclassified non-coding RNA is filed under the name uncultured Chaetosphaeriaceae. RNAcentral's name for it is "sequence contains ITS2". RNAcentral also lists the same sequence under 1 other name. The record is from RNAcentral. Lineage: Eukaryota; Fungi; Ascomycota; Sordariomycetes; Chaetosphaeriales; Chaetosphaeriaceae.